This 402-nucleotide ribosomal RNA is filed under the name uncultured Glomus. Its description in RNAcentral is "SSU rRNA". It matches the Rfam family "Eukaryotic small subunit ribosomal RNA", at positions 569 to 976 of the family's 1831-position model. The record is from RNAcentral. Lineage: Eukaryota; Fungi; Glomeromycota; Glomeromycetes; Glomerales; Glomeraceae.
AGCAGCCGCGGUAAUUCCAGCUCCAAUAGCGUAUAUUAAAGUUGCUGCAGUUAAAAAGCUCGUAGUUGAAUUUCGGGAUCAAUUUACCGGUCGUGCCUAUGGUACGUACUGGUAUUGUUGGUUCCUCCUUUCUGAGGAGCCGCGAUGUCAUUAACUUGGUGUCGCGGGGAAUCAGGACUGUUACUUUGAAAAAUUAGAGUGUUUAAAGCAGGCUAACGCUUGAAUACAUUAGCAUGGAAUAAUGAAAUAGGACGUUUGAUCCUAUUUUGUUGGUUUCUAGGGUCGACGUAAUGAUUAAUAGGGGUAGUUGGGGGCAUUAGUAUUCAAUUGUCAGAGGUGAAAUUCCUGGAUUUAUUGAAGACUAACUACUGCGAAAGCAUUUGCCAAGGAUGUUUUCAUUAA